The sequence is a ribosomal RNA, 529 nucleotides long. It matches the Rfam family "Bacterial large subunit ribosomal RNA", at positions 1853 to 2581 of the family's 2925-position model.
UACAGCCUGCCCAGUGACUUUGUUCAACGGCCGCGGUAUCCUAACCGUGCGAAGGUAGCGUAAUCACUUGUUCUUUAAAUGAGGACUAGUAUGAAUGGCAUCACGAGGGUUAUACUGUCUCCUUUCCACAAUCAGUGAAACUGAUCUCUCCGUGAAGAAGCGGGGAUGAUUAUAUAAGACGAGAAGACCCUAUGGAGCUUUAAACUAAAUUUCAUCUGCCUGAAAGACACAAAAAAUUUCAGAAGAAUAAAUAAAACUCAGGCGCCUUGAUUUUAAGUUUUGGGUUGGGGUGACCGCGGAGCAAAACAAACCCUCCGCAUUGAACAAGACUGUUUCUUUAGCUAAGAGCUACAACUUAAAGCACCAACAAAUUGACAUCAUUGACCCAAUAUUUUGACCAACGAACCAAGUUACCCUAGGGAUAACAGCGCAAUCCGCUUCAAGAGCCCAUAUCGACAAGCGGGUUUACGACCUCGAUGUUGGAUCAGGGUACCCCAGUGGUGCAGCCGCUACUAAAGGUUCGUUUGUU